This 309-nucleotide ribosomal RNA is filed under the name uncultured soil bacterium. RNAcentral describes it as "bacterial SSU rRNA". It matches the Rfam family "Bacterial small subunit ribosomal RNA", at positions 26 to 337 of the family's 1533-position model. The record is from RNAcentral.
AGAUUGAACGCUGGCGGCAGGCCUAACACAUGCAAGUCGAGCGGUAGAGAGGUGCUUGCACCUCUUGAGAGCGGCGGACGGGUGAGUAAUGCCUAGGAAUCUGCCUAGUGGUGGGGGAUAACGUUCGGAAACGGACGCUAAUACCGCACACGUCCUACGGGAGAAAGCGGGGGACCUUCGGGCCUCGCGCCAUUAGAUGAGCCUAGGUCGGAUUAGCUAGUUGGUGAGGUAAUGGCUCACCAAGGCGACGAUCCGUAACUGGUCUGAGAGGAUGAUCAGUCACACUGGAACUGAGACACGGUCCAGACU